AAGGAUGGGCAAGCGAAUCUCCCAGCUGGUGCAGAGCCCCAUUCAGUGCCUUACUGACGCGCAUCCAGAGAUUCAAGCCCCCUGCACCCGCGUGGGUGACUUUGAAACAGAUUCCCGCCUGGCACAGCGUACUCUCCAGCGGCUCACGUGAAAUCGAUCACGGCAAAGUCACACCCUACAGCCAGAGCAAUUCGGGAAGCUUGGCUCUUCCACAAACAAGAUUCCAGGAUGCCACCCAGAAGGCAAAUCAAGAAACCUCACUGGAUGGUUUGUGGAUGACUUGGGAGGGUCCCAAUGGUUCCAGGAAGGAGGCAGAGGCUAUCCUCGUUCACUGCCUCUUGCCAAUCACAGUGUCCUGUCCAAAGCUCGCGAACACUUCCUGAGGACCAGAUGAUAACGCUCACAACUGUCCAUGUAUGCCCACAGACCGUCGGAAGAGAUUGUUGGAUCCCUUGGAGCUGUGAGCUGCCUGGUAUAGGUGCUGGGAUUUGAACUUGAGUCUUCUGGAAGAGCAUCUAGUGCUCUUAACCUCUGCACCAUCUCUCCUCCAGCCCUCGAUUAAAUUUCUAAAACAGUUUUUGUUGUGCUUGAGUGUGAACAUGUGGAAGCCAGAGGUCAGUAUCAGGAGUGGCACUAUUAGAAGGUGUGGCUUUGUUGG
Arvicanthis niloticus (Nile rat) is the source of this 658-nucleotide long non-coding RNA. RefSeq lists it as uncharacterized. NCBI's taxonomy places the organism in Eukaryota, Metazoa, Chordata, Mammalia, Rodentia, Muridae. The record is from RefSeq and is a predicted model, not a curated record.